ACCCCUGUAGCUCAAUUGGAUAGAGCACUGGACUUCGGAUCCAGGUGUUGGGGGUUCAAAUCCUCCCGGGGGUACAA
This 77-nucleotide transfer RNA is filed under the name Fidelibacterota bacterium. RNAcentral describes it as "tRNA-Arg". It matches the Rfam family "tRNA". From Rfam's summary of the family: Transfer RNA (tRNA) molecules are approximately 80 nucleotides in length. Their secondary structure includes four short double-helical elements and three loops (D, anti-codon, and T loops). Further hydrogen bonds mediate the characteristic L-shaped molecular structure. tRNAs have two regions of fundamental functional importance: the anti-codon, which is responsible for specific mRNA codon recognition, and the 3' end, to which the tRNAs corresponding amino acid is attached (by aminoacyl-tRNA synthetases). tRNAs cope with the degeneracy of the genetic code in two manners: having more than one tRNA (with a specific anti-codon) for a particular amino acid; and 'wobble' base-pairing, i.e. permitting non-standard base-pairing at the 3rd anti-codon position. Lineage: Bacteria; Pseudomonadati; Fidelibacterota. The record is from RNAcentral.